Molecule: ribosomal RNA, 506 nt
Filed under: uncultured bacterium
Lineage: Bacteria
Description: partial 16S ribosomal RNA
Rfam family: Bacterial small subunit ribosomal RNA
Source: RNAcentral
AGUGAACGCUGGCGGUAGGCCUAACACAUGCAAGUCGAACGGCAGCACAGAGGAGCUUGCUCCUUGGGUGGCGAGUGGCGGACGGGUGAGGAAUACAUCGGAAUCUACUCUGUCGUGGGGGAUAACGUAGGGAAACUUACGCUAAUACCGCAUACGACCUACGGGUGAAAGCAGGGGACCUUCGGGCCUUGCGCGAUUGAAUGAGCCGAUGUCGGCUUAGCUAGUUGGCGGGGUAAAGGCCCACCAAGACGACGAUCCGUAGCUGGUCUGAGAGGAUGAUCAGCCACACUGGAACUGAGACACGGUCCAGACUCCUACGGGAGGCAGCAGUGGGGAAUAUUGGACAAUGGGCGCAAGCCUGAUCCAGCCAUACCGCGUGGGUGAUGAAGGCCUUCGGGUUGUAAAGCCCUUUUGUUGGGAAAGAAAUCCAGCUGGCUAAUACCCGGUUGGGAUGACGGUACCCAAAGAAUAAGCACCGGCUAACUUCGUGCCAGCAGCCGCAGUAA